GUGCCAGCCGCCGCGGUAAUACGGAGGAUCCAAGCGUUAUCCGGAAUCAUUGGGUUUAAAGGGUCCGUAGGCGGUUUAAUAAGUCAGUGGUUAAAGCCCAUCGCUCAACGGUGGAACGGCCAUUGAUACUGUUAAACUUGAAUUAUUAGGAAGUAACUAGAAUAUGUAGUGUAGCGGUGAAAUGCUUAGAGAUUACAUGGAAUACCAAUUGCGAAGGCAGGUUACUACUAAUGGAUUGACGCUGAUGGACGAAAGAGUGGGUAGCGAACAGGAUUAGAAACCCUAGUAGUCC
RNAcentral lists this ribosomal RNA (292 nucleotides) under uncultured bacterium. RNAcentral describes it as "partial 16S ribosomal RNA". It matches the Rfam family "Bacterial small subunit ribosomal RNA", at positions 505 to 796 of the family's 1533-position model. The record is from RNAcentral.